This 68-nucleotide transfer RNA is filed under the name Ophthalmolebias bokermanni. Its description in RNAcentral is "tRNA-Val". Lineage: Eukaryota; Metazoa; Chordata; Actinopteri; Cyprinodontiformes; Rivulidae. The record is from RNAcentral.
CAGAACAUAGCUAAAAUAUAGCACUUCCUUUACUCUGAAGAGUUACUUGAUCGUACAGGUUGUUCUGA